RNAcentral lists this ribosomal RNA (497 nucleotides) under uncultured bacterium. RNAcentral's name for it is "partial 16S ribosomal RNA". It matches the Rfam family "Bacterial small subunit ribosomal RNA", at positions 28 to 507 of the family's 1533-position model. The record is from RNAcentral.
GAUGAACGCUGGCGGCGUGCCUAAUACAUGCAAGUCGAGCGAACAGACGAGGAGCUUGCUCCUCUGACGUUAGCGGCGGACGGGUGAGUAACACGUGGAUAACCUACCUAUAAGACUGGGAUAACUUCGGGAAACCGGAGCUAAUACCGGAUAAUAUAUUGAACCGCAUGGUUCAAUAGUGAAAGACGGUUUUGCUGUCACUUAUAGAUGGAUCCGCCCCGCAUUAGCUAGUUGGUAAGGUAACGGCUUACCAAGGCAACGAUGCGUAGCCGACCUGGGAGGGUGAUCGGCCACACUGGAACUGAGACACGGUCCAGACUCCUACGGGAGGCAGCAGUAGGGAAUCUUCCGCAAUGGGCGAAAGCCUGACGGAGCAACGCCGCGUGAGUGAUGAAGGUCUUCGGAUCGUAAAACUCUGUUAUUAGGGAAGAACAAAUGUGUAAGUAACUAUGCACGUCUUGACGGUACCUAAUCAGAAAGCCACGGCUAACUACGUG